RNAcentral lists this ribosomal RNA (484 nucleotides) under uncultured soil bacterium. Its description in RNAcentral is "bacterial SSU rRNA". It matches the Rfam family "Bacterial small subunit ribosomal RNA", at positions 26 to 507 of the family's 1533-position model. The record is from RNAcentral.
AGAUUGAACGCUGGCGGCAGGCCUAACACAUGCAAGUCGAGCGGCAGCACGGGUACUUGUACCUGGUGGCGAGCGGCGGACGGGUGAGUAAUGCCUAGGAAUCUGCCUGGUAGUGGGGGAUAACGCUCGGAAACGGACGCUAAUACCGCAUACGUCCUACGGGAGAAAGCAGGGGACCUUCGGGCCUUGCGCUAUCAGAUGAGCCUAGGUCGGAUUAGCUAGUUGGUGAGGUAAUGGCUCACCAAGGCGACGAUCCGUAACUGGUCUGAGAGGAUGAUCAGUCACACUGGAACUGAGACACGGUCCAGACUCCUACGGGAGGCAGCAGUGGGGAAUAUUGGACAAUGGGCGAAAGCCUGAUCCAGCCAUGCCGCGUGUGUGAAGAAGGUCUUCGGAUUGUAAAAGCACUUUAAGUUGGAGAAGGCAGUUACCUAAUACGUAUCUGUUUGACGUUACGACAGAAUAAGCACGGCUAAACUCUGUG